Molecule: transfer RNA, 74 nt
Filed under: Loxodonta africana (African savanna elephant)
Lineage: Eukaryota; Metazoa; Chordata; Mammalia; Proboscidea; Elephantidae
Rfam family: tRNA
About the family: Transfer RNA (tRNA) molecules are approximately 80 nucleotides in length.
Source: Rfam by way of RNAcentral
GGACUGUUAGCUCAGCUGUUUAAAGUGUGGAGCUAAUAACGCCAAGGUUGCAGGUUCGAUCCCUGUACAGGCCA